UGCAGAGCCCAGGCGCGUGGGUCGGUGUCGGGUGUGUGUGUACGUCUGUGUGUGUAAUGAAACUGGACGCCUUCCUUCCCGGCGAUCUUGACUUAACCUGUCAGCAGAGGGCUUGAGGUUAGACCACAGGUUGAACCUAGGUGGCUGCUGGAGAGGCCUUGAAAUCAUGGCAGCAGCAAGACCCAACUGGGGCAGCAUCAUGUCUGGGUUUGAAUCCCGGUUCAGCCACUUUCCAGCUGUGUGAUGUGGGGCAAGUCAGGCUCAGAUCCCACCAGGACUGCAACCCUUAGCCCUGUCUGGUCUCCCCUGCAACCCUUGAGGCCACCCUGGAGGCUCAGCCAUCCAUUCACCCCAGAAAGAAGCUGGAAGCUCAAGCCUGACUAUAGGACCAGCACAGCCCCUGGCCAGCCGCAUGCUGCAGAGGCUCUGGCUGACUGUCUCUGCUCGCCUGUUCUGUUGUUUGCAUGUUCUCAGAAUAGGAGACCCCUAAAGACAGAAACUGCAUGUGUCCUGCGCAGGAAAUCUUGUAUUGGUGGAGAAACAGAAGCCUGGAGAUGCUGAGUAACUUGCCCAUAGUCUCACAGCUGACAAGUGGCCAAGAAGGAUUCAAACACAUGUGUGCUGGCUCCAGUGGCUCCAGAAGUCUGAAACACUCUGUCUUCCUGCUUUGAGGACAGCUGAAGUCUUGCCACUUCUUCUGGAUGCUCUGACCAUCAGUAAGAGACACGGUCUGACUUUGUUACCCCGGCUGGAGUGCAGUGGUGCAAUCAUGGCUCACUGCAGCCUUAACCUCCUGGGCUCAAGUGAUCCUCUCGCCAAGGCUAGGAUAAGUAGCUAGGACUACAGAUGCGCCCCAUCACGCCCAGCUAAUUUUACAACUUCUGUAGAGAUGGAGUGUUGCUGGGUUGCCCAGGCUGGUCUUGAAUUCCUGGGCUCAAGCGAUCCUCCUGUGUCCGGAAUUGGUGGGUUCUUGGUCUCACUGACUUCAAGAAUGAAGCCGCGGACCCUCGCGGUGAGUGUUACAGUUCUUAAAGACAGCGUGUCCAGAGUUUGUUCCUUCUGAUGUUCAGAUGUGUUCAGAGUUUCUUCCUUCUGGUGGGUUCGUGGUCUCGCUGGCUUAGGGGUGAAGCUGCAGACCUUCGCGGUGAGUGUUACAGUUCUUAGGGCGGCGCGUCUGGAGUUGUCUGUUCCUCCCGGUGGGCUCGUAGUCUCGCUGGCUUCAGGAGUGAAGCUGCAGACCUUCGCGGUGAGUGUUACAGCUCAUAAAGGCAGCGUGGACCUACAGAGUGAGCAGUAGCAAGAUUUAUUGCAAAGAGCAAAAGAACAAAGCUUCCACAGCGUGGAAAGGGAUCCCAGC
Molecule: long non-coding RNA, 1357 nt
Filed under: Homo sapiens (human)
Lineage: Eukaryota; Metazoa; Chordata; Mammalia; Primates; Hominidae
Description: HSALNT0334378
Source: RNAcentral